GAAGUGGCGGUGAUCUUCAUAUUGGGAAGAUUCCGAAAUGCCUGUAUUACCACGCAUGGAGCAAUGUUGGAUGAGAAGAGGACAGAGAUCAUGUAGUUUCUGUGAAGUGAGGUGGCGAAAUUUCACAGCUGUCAGAACACUAGAUGAGAACUUUUUGAAAUGUUUUGGUUAAUGCCGAGAAACAUCUUUAUAACGAUCAUAGUCAAAGCAUGCUUGUUGGCGAAAUCAUUUUUUACAAUCCAAGGGAAGAUUUCUUUAUGCGAGAAAAGUGUGGUGAUCCUUUCACCCGGAGGAUGUCUUAGGGAAACGGCACUUGUUUUGGUCUCUACGGCAGUCUCGUUGCUUCAUCGGCCAAGGGUAGUUGUACCGGCCAAAUUGCUUUCGGGAGGGGGUUGCGACGCCCUACGCAGGCCUAUUUGUCGCAUGGUUGACUUGGAACAUGUGGGGCUAACAUUGGGCUGUCUGAUAGCACAUGAUCACUUGGUAUCGCACGGUUCAUCUAUUAAUUUUGGGAUUCCCUAAAAUUUUUGAUGCAGUUCAAAUUUAAUGGAACAGGAUGAUUAAAAGAUGAUUUAAUAUAGGCAAAAAUUAUGUACUGACUGUUAUCGUCAACGACACUCGGAUUUCGUGUACUUCUUCCUAGAAGCACUAAUAUGAUGAUCUGCCAGUUUGUUUACCUUUCCAUAGCCUCCGGAUCCAAUGUUGAAAUGAGCAAGAUGGUUUUCAUUUGACGAUAUAAUUUGCUUCAAUCUAAAUCAUUGCAUGCAUCAUUGAGGAUAGAAUCUGGACAGCCUUAUACCUAUUCGUCUAACGACUAACGACCCAGCCAACCCAUGCCUAUCUAUCGGUGGGUUGUGAAAACUUUAAAUAGAAUAAUUAUGUCAUUAAAGUCGAUUUCUGCCUUGCUAAGCUAAGCACUUUAAAUAGAUUAAUUAUGCAUCACACAGCACAAGCAUUCAUGCCACGCGCAUCACAUCACAAUUUCCAAAAUCAGAAUUGACCUUGGUGGAUCAUAUAUUCUGUCUCUAAAGUCUAAAAUGUUGAGUUCCUAGUUCGCAGGUUUGUUAUCCAUCAAUUGCUAGCCCUGACCGGAGAAUUGGCCAAACCACCUAAUCCUCUCUCUAUCUCUCUCCCCCUUUCUCAUAAAUCUCCACCCUUCCAACCCCCAAAAACCCCCUCCGAAAAAAUUAUUGCACAAAGUAACAAUAAAAUAAGCAAUCAUAUCUCAAAUAAACGAAAUAAACCUCUUUGAUCAUAUCAUAUAUCACAGUCAUGGUAAAGGAAACAAUGACCACGGCCAAACAAAAUCAUGUCCAGAAAAAACGCAAACGCCGAUCCGGCUCCAUCAUCAUCACCAUCAUCUAUCGGCAAUAUAUAGAAGGAAGAAACAAAAGGAUACUCCAAAAAUAAAUAGAAGAAAAAAUAAAAGGAACAGAUGGAGCAGCAGGAGAAGGAUGCAUCUGAUCUCGUCAUCCUAUCUGAAAUCAUAUGAUUAAAAAUCAUGCAAUAAUUGGCUAUUUUUUAUUGAGGACGAUGGGGAGCACGAUGAUGAGGAUGAUGAUGAGGAGCAAGAUGAUGGCAAUGCAGGUCCACUUGCGGGUGUUCUUCUGGUGCUUGCGGGCCGUCUGGAGCUGAUCGGUCCCGCGCCUGACAAAGGAGUGGGCCCGCCCGACCUGGCUCUCGAUGUCGUCCAGAUGCUCCCCCUGCGCCGCCACCAGCACGGACAUGUCCAAGAACACCUGCUGCAGCUCCAGCAGGCUCCUCUCGAGAUCCGCCGCCGCCCCGUGCCUCUCCUGGAUCUCGGCUAUCACGUCCAAAACCCUCCCCCUUCCCUGCUCCUCGAUCGCCCUCUGCAGGAACCUCUCGCCUUCUCCCGUCGCCACCAGGGUCUCCACCGUCUGCUCGUCGGGCUUCUCCCCGGUCACCGUGUAGUAGCGCCGCUCGACGGACUCCCGGUAAUCGGCGGCGACCCUCUUCCGCAGCUCGACGAAGCCCUCCAUCGAGUCCUUCAGCUUCUUGCGGAGGCCGGCGACGACGGAGGUGCGGGUGCGGUCCGUGGAGGUGCCGGGGCCGCACCCGGGAAGGGAGCGGUUCGCGGCGUUGGCGCGGUCGAGGGACUCGAGGCGGAGCUUGAUGAGCUUCGCCUUCUUCAGGGCGGUGGCGACGUCGCCGUCCAUGCGGGCGCGGAGGUCGCGGACGGCGGAGGCGGCGUGGAGGGUCUUGGAGGCCUCGUUCGACUCGUGGAGCCGGUGAUGGAUGCGCUCCACCUCCUUGAGCUCGUCCUUGAUCGCCUCCACGUCCUCGAAGAACCUGUCCAGAUUGGCGCCGCCGGCCGCGGACGCGGACGAGUUGCGGCUCAUCUGGACGUCGCCGCUGCUCCCAUCCGCUUCCCGCCUCCACGAUCCCGAGAAGAGGCUGUUCAUCGUAUCUUAACUUCCUAUUUUUGUACCUCUCCUAGAAUUACUCCGUUCUCCGAUGUGGGACAACCAAUUCGGCCGGCAGUGGUCCGGAUGAUAGACAAGAAGAAGGAGAAGGAGAAGAGGGGGUGGGGAAAGAGGAGAAGAGAGACGGGAAAUAGAAGGAAGCUGGCCGCCAGGAUUGGGAUUUAAUAAAAGAGAGAGAGAGGAAAAAAAAAACGCGGCUUUGAAUGGGCCGUGGUCAUAUAGGCUUUCCUUCGAUGGGUUUUCGGUCUCCGAUAGCGGGAUGAAGGAGAAGGGCCACUUCGACUCCGACGACUCGUCAAAGUCUCCGAGUUGGGGGACGAUGAGAGGAUCUUUUGAUAUCCCUACCCGGUUUAUUUGGUCAGUUGACCCGAUUGAAGUUUCUAUGGGCGAAAUCUGAAACUCGACGUUAUUUCAUUACAUCAUGAUGAAGUGUAGAUCAAGGAAAGAUGGGUGGAAAAUAUCGGCACCGUUGUGAUUAAUGUCUUCCCUCCUCACCACGUUGGUAAUGGCCGGUAGUGGCUAGAAAUUUUUUUAAAAUAUAUAUGUGGGCCCCAUAAUGUCUUAUUUGGAAUUUUCAUUUAAUGGUCAACGCGUGUUAGAAUUAGACCGUGGAUCAUCCUUUCUUGUUCAUUAGAAGGCUAACCGGUAUAUUGGUUGCGUACCCACCAAUGUUGUUUUUCGUACAUUUUCCGAGCUGCUUCCACCCAUCUUUUGCUUUGCUGAUUCGUAUGUGAUUUGAAAUAAUGGGGUCGUCUUCUGGAUCGCUAUAUGAGUUUUGGAUUUCGUGUUAUAAAGUUCUAUAUCGAGCACAAGUGGGUAUUGGAAGGAGACGGAUGGGAUCGUCACCAAAUUAUAUUUAGUCUCCAUAUUGUUUUCUUUGACUCAUUCUUCCAAUUAGGAAACGCUCUCUCUCUCUCUCUCUCGGGCAUGAGGCAUGAUGUGGGGCGAAGCGAUAAGGCUGCUUCGUGGAGGUCUUUUCUUCUGUAUUUAAUUAAUUGUCUUUCGCUUCGGCUUUUUGUCCGUUUCAUUUCGCAGAACGCUUCCAGAAGUGCCUCGUCAUCAUGCCGGUUGUCGUUCGUUGAAUAUUUCCAUAGGCCAAUUUAUUUCCUUUAAAAAAAAAAUUGGACUUUUUUUUUUGUUUGCAUAUAUAUCUCUUCCCCUUGUAAAUUAAUCGUACAGAGAGAUCCGUUUUAGGUAUUUGCAAAGGGAGAUUUUUAGCUUGGAAAUUUUACACUUGACUCUUUGGAUCUUCCAGCGAGUGAACUACAUUGCUCCUCAACAUAAUUUGAUAAAGAUGGGAAGAAUGGAGUGCUAGAAAUGGAGGCCAAAAAUUGGAAUCUUUGACCGGUACUUCCUUUCUCGAGUUUCCUUCUUUGUACGAGUAUUAUCUACGGUUGAAGAGGUCAAAUAAGUAGAUUGGAAAGAAAAGAAGGGACGGCGAAAAUAUGGAUCCAUGAUAGUUACGUUUAUGGAAAAUUUCCGGGUCAGUGUGUUCUCAUGAUUGGCUUACUUGAUGCAUCUCUUCUUGGUGCAAGCAACAAGAUGAGGUUCCAUAGUCCAAUUAGCUCUGCCAGCCCUCAUAUUCAUGGAGUCCGGCAAACAUCCUUGCAAUUUUUACCUCCAAAGCAGUCACAGGACUGCUUCUGAUCUUAGUUCCAUGCUGUCAUUUUUCUGUGACUUCCAUGCUGAUGUUUUGGAGGAAUAAUAUAUAUAUACCAUUAAUGUCAUGGGUAAGGUGAAAGUGACGACAUUUCACUUUCAAAUACACCUUACUCUGGUUGAUAUUGUUUGUUGAUCACAAAAAUCAUUGUAAACUUGGAGAGUGAUGAAACCCUCCAGGCUCAGCAGAAUGCCCUCCACAGGUCAGAAAGCCCUACUUUCUACUGCUUCACUGAAAAUUGCUUUAGUUUGGAUCUCUGGUUGGAUUACUGGGCUCAACUUCCUUAGACUCAAGCAGAAAAAACACACAGGAAAAAAAAAAACAUAAAAAACAAAGUACCAUGCUGAAUGAGCAUUAAUUGCAUAAGCAAAAUAUUUCUAAACACAAGCACAGAUCAAUAUCCAACCCUGACCAGCAAGGAUCUAGCAAAUAAGUAAACAAAAGCUUACGGGCAGGUAUUUGUGCUGCCCCAUAUCAUUCACCGACCUCUCAGUCAAAAGGAUCAAAUUCUCCUUAAAAGGAGAACUGAAAACUAUUAUUAAACAUAAUUGGCUGACUUAAGAUCAGAAGCAGCGGAUGCUAGGUUAUCAUUUGAUAAUAUGGACAAAACGUACUCCUCCAUGUUCAGGGCAAGUCUUUUCAAGGGCACCAUGGACCAAAAGAAUCUUCAGGCUGAAACGAAACAAAGGAUACAACACUAGCUGCUGAAGCACUGGACAGUGACAUGAAAUUUCAACUAUCAGCUGAUGAUAAACACAUCUUGGCUUCCAUCGUUCAAAUUAUAAUUUACAACUAUGAAAUAAGACAAUACUUCCAACUGCUGAAUCAUAAGUUGCAUCGUCGCACCAGCUCAAGAUGUUUCAACUAGGGCACUGCAGUGCAGUAAGGUAGAAAGGAUGUCCUCGACUUGUACCAGAAGACCAUCUUUUUACAUCAUCACCAAGUACUUCCUCAGAAGGUUUUAGCUUCCAAUGCAAUUCAUAAUUUGAUAAAUCAUAUGUCCCAGGCGUAAAUAUGCAAAUCCUAAGAGGAACUUCGGCAGUGCAUGCUGGCUCCAGUUUAAGCUGAGUAGAGCUUGCCCCACACCAAACAUAGGGAGAGAUGCUUUCAGAUAAUGGCUUCCAUGGACGGCUUGCUUGAACAUUGGAGAUUACCUUAAUUUCAUCCACCAGAGAUAUAUCAUGCCAUCCUUGAUUUCCAGAAGGAUCAGAAGACUGAACAGCAUCACUUAUUUGGUCUGUCCCUGGCAGGGUAUCAAAGGUUGUGAGCCUGAUGGACACACUGGUUUCAGAACAGUUGCGGAUAGUCACACGGGCACUAGCUUCACAGAAAGAAGUGGAGAAAUCGUGAUUAAUCAUGCGGGGCCCAUCCAUUAGCCACCAUAUUGGGCUCUUGCUGGUGAUACUGGAAAACAGAAAGGCAAGAAAUCCAUCAGAACAUACUAGACCCCUGGAAGCUCAUGCACAACCCAGCAGUCAUCUGGUUUUAGCUCUUGCCUGCAAUGACAUGAAUGACUGGACAAAAGUUGUGAUGAUGCUUCUGGCGCAACGUCUGGAUUACCGCCUAGGAUGCUUGAGAUUAGGAUGAAGUCAACAAUGCUUGGACUUCCCUGAAUUGCACAGUACAAUUGAUGAAUCCUGUCGAAUGCUAUGCUCAAGAGAAGAAAGAACAGGGUAGUAUCAUUCAUUUAACAUUUCAUGUAUGAAAUUACAAGCAUUGCAACAAACAUAUAUUAGCUCUAUAGGUAGUGCAACCAAUAGCAUCUAUUGCCGAUACAAAUAUGUGUUAAAAAGUUAACAUCUCCUAUGCAGAUUAUAUAUUGGGGGAUAUCUGCUAAGCAGAACAGACAAAGCAUACCACAAAAAGAAACUAACAUAAGGACAAAACAAUGGGAAUCACAUUUCAAGAACCAUGCAUCACUCAUAAAAUUUUAGGUAACAUCAUUAUGCAUUUAAUGGAACGACAUUCCACCUGAAAAGCGACAAAGUCAAAUGACAUUUCCAGUAAGAAUCCAAUGAUUUGUCAAAAAAUGAUGGUGAUACAAAUGGUAAAGUUCCAAGAGAGGAGGGGAUGGCGAGAGCUUUAGAGUAUAACAGGGAUUUCAAAGAUCUAAACUUAUGCAACCUUCAGGCAUAAAGUAACAAGACUUUGUACAAUUUUCAUCACAAAUUACAGAAGAAAAUAUUAAGAUAGAUCCUAAGGUAUCACUAUAUUUGGAACAUAUUGCAUUUGGAAGCAUCAAGAUACAGAGUUCAGGGUUGUGAAGAACCAAGAGUCAAAAAGUUGAAGUGUUGAUAAGCAUCCCAAAACAGAUGGCAAGAUAUUAAAGAUUUUAAUGUCACACAGUUCCAGUUGUUGGAGCAUUUAGCAAAUUAAUUCUUUUUAAAAAAAAUCAAGGGAGUCUCAUAACCCUGUUCAAACAGCUUGAGAGAAUGAAAAGCUCCAAAUGCCUAAGUAUUGAUUAUAAAUGUGUUAAAUUUCCCAGAACUUGUAGGCACCAAACAGUUUAUUCAACUAGCAGUAAAAAAAUUGUUGAAAAAUUAUGCAACAGUUCAUAACUUCAUACUGAUUCAGUUUUACUAGAGCUAUGUAAAUGAUAUUGAGAAGUAUAUAGAUAACCAGUUAAUAUAAUUAAAAAAGAAGUGGAAUCUGCUGAACCUGCACCAACUUCCCCUGGUGAUAUCGUUCAUGGUGGUGAAAAUCAACCAAAGGUGACCUGGAAAUAUCAACUAAAACUUUAUUGCUUCCCUGAGGACCCAGUAGUACAUCACUUCCUUGGACACCGAGAUUUCUUUCUUUAUUUGUGCUUCUACAAUCCUGGAACGCAAAUUAAUUAAUGGAGUUUUAAAUACGAAAUGGCAAUGUAAGAUAUUUUGUAUAGCCCAUUACUUUUUAUUUCUAUAAUUUCCAUAUCCCGAUUAAGAUCUUGCUAUAACAACAUUUUUUUCGUUUUUUUUCUUGGGGUACAAUAAAGCUUGCAAACCUUUAGCUUAAAGAAGCACGAUAAUGCUUGACCAGCAGAUAAAGUUUGUGUUGGGCAGAUAGAAACAUAUGCUGGCAGUGUUGAUAUCUCCAACUGAUCUCCGGCACAUGACAGCUGAUUAAGACAGAAUGUCUCCGAACUUGUCCUGUUCACAAUGUCCAAGCGCACAAGAAACUCCUGCAACCUCGAUGGGCAAGGAGUGAUCAGGAAUGAUACAUCUAACGAUGGCAAUACCUGCAAAAUGAAGCAAAUAUUACUUGAGAAUUCACAGUUGCAAGAGUCAACCUGAAGAUCAGUAGUCCAACAAAAGACUCCAAGAAUCAUAAUGAACCAGAAACCUUAAGAAAUCAUUUGUUAGAAAACAAUAUGUUGAGAAGGAUAAUGACUUGUAGAAACAUGUUUGGAAGAACAAGGUCAAGAAUUACAAAGUAAAAUCUUCUAUAGAAGAACUUUAAUCCGGGAAAGAAAGUGGGAGUCUCAUGGUGGUCAUCUCCAUCGAACUGGUGGAUUCAUCAAAAACAAACUUAACAUAUAUGUCAUCUUGGGUCAUAGUCAGGUUGUCAUAACAUACAAAGCAAACUCUUGAUGAUAUAUCCUUUUGUAAUGGCUCUAAAACACAUUAAUUAUGUGUCUUCAAGAUCACACGGAUGGAAUAGAAGGACCAUGAAUUUCCCCCUUUUUCCAAGAGCGCCAUGAUCUUCUAUGAUAUAUCAGUAAAUUUUUAAGAAUACAAUGAGAUCAAUUUCAUGGAUCCUACUUCUACAUUGGCUCCUAUACAGUGCAACUUCAAAACAAAUGUCUUUAACUUUUUCUGACCUUCCGAUUAAAUUUUCUUGAAACUACUCUCCAACACGUUGAAGAGAUUGUGGGCUAUCCCCUCAUGAUAUUUAUACCAAUUGUCAUAGUUGAAACUUGAUACUCAUCAAUAUGUUUCGGGAUGGGUUGAGCCCAGAACCGUAACAAGGCUCUUGCCAUUCCAAUAGUAAUCAGUUAAAAUCAACCUUGAUAAUAGAACCUCAUAGGAAUUUCAUCUAUGAUUUAUAUCAGAUAUAACAUAUAAAGUGCAAGAUGGAGCGUUUCGAUCAAGUUUACAAUUAAAUGUGAGGCGAAUUCCCAAAACAAGGUAUUAAUCUACAAAAGAAACCUAGAAGUCAGUAUGUGAAGAAGAUAAUGGAAUGAGAGAAGUUGUUUCAUCAUUUCACAAACUCAAGCUUAAAUGAAAUUACAGGACUAGUUUCUCCUUUUAUAUAGGCCUAUUUUCAACUAAAGCUGUAUUGGUUCUGCUGCAGAAACAGAACUCUAAACCAAACAAUAUCAAAGAAAAAAUAAUUUUUAAAUACACUAUGAAUCCCAUCAGUUAAACUUGAAAAGUAAAUAUAAGGAAUGAGGCCAUAUGGUGGCUGGCCAACCAAAUUAUUCUCCAUAUUGUGGUUGGCCACUUCUAAAUUCUCUCCAAAUCUUCCCUUUUUCUCCUUUUCAUCCUUUCUUUUCUCCUAUCUUCUCAUUUUUCCAUUUUUCCUCCUUUCUUCUAUCUACACUCUUUUCUAUCUUUCUGUUCCUCUUCUUAAAAACUAUCAGGCAUCUUUCUAUUUCCUCUUCUCUUAGGCGGGAGGGUCCACUUUGAGCAACUGGAUCCCCCAAAGACUUAUUACUACCAGCUGGCCACUUAUUUUCUGCAGAACAAAUGAGAAAACAGCAAAACUAAUAUAAGAGAGGUCUUUUAGCAGAAUAUUACACCAAAGCCUCCAUCCCAUCUAAUGCCAGCUCAGAUGAUUCUCAAAUUUUCAAAGCAAUGGAAAUGUUUUACAAGCAAGAUCAUAUUACAUAAAUAAUCAUUUUUAAUCUAGCAGAGCAUUUAAAUAGAAAUAUUCCAACAAAUCAGUAGACAAUAAAAUAGCUUUUUUCUUAGAAAUUUUAAGAAUAUUAUCAUGCCUAAUUAAUUGUAUUUUUGUAUAAAUAAUUAGAGUUACACCACAAGCAUGCACGCAUGCAUGCACACACUUUCAAACCAUUAAGGGAUCAUUCUUGGAGCGUCACUUUUUGUUAAACAGUUAAAGCAUACAAAGGACGUGAUGCUCCCAUCAGGGAAAUAGACCAUACCAAGCUGAAGCAUCAUAAAACCUAUUUCUCUCUUCCCCUAUUCCUCCUUUAUAGCAUAAUUCCUAGGUCAAAACUCUACAAUUAGGCCAAUGAAGUUCUUGAGAUUGACAAAUAAUAGGCACUAUUACUCGCAAAAAAUCUGCAAACCAGGACAAUUAACAAAAAACCUUGUUAACAUAUCUUAAUUAACUUGGAAAUUUAUUGUUUAUAUGGAAGGGGCACUAAAAUAUUUUGCUAAGUUGUCCUCUCAAUAAAGGUACCAAAAUACCAUCCCAAUCAAAUGGUUACUUUAGAUUAAAGGCUCUAUUGGUUUAUAACAUCAUAUUGAAAAUUCAAAUGGAAUUUAUACUAUAUAUGUUCUCUCAUUUCAUCUAAACAAAACUUUCAUAUCUUUAUAUUUUCUAUUUUACGAGGAAAAUAAAUCUCAUAUAACCAAGAAUCACUGAAAUCCUUGCAAAGAUCUAACCAUCACCCAUCAAUGCAACAACUAUGUCUGCCUCUUCGUGAAUGAUUUUAGAUUUUUACAAAUCACAUUCAGUAUUCUAUCCAUACUACAAACAGUUUUUGCUAUUUCAUGUUGUUUAUAGGCCAGACCAAAAUUCUAGUUGGAAUAAAGCUUGUAAGAUGGUUGUUCCAGACUAGCAUCCACUCAAAAACAAUACUUCAAAGGUGUCAAUUCUCUCCCUUUUUAUGCUACUCCAAGGUUUGUUCUAAAUCAUAUGGUUGGCUGGCUUCGAAAGGGUGUUAAUCCGCACGGAAUCGGAUACUCUUGACUUUGUUUUUCCCCAAUUUUGGAAGAAGUUACCUUGACAUCCUCAUCCAUACAGCAAUCAUCUUAUGAGGGUUAAUAUUUUAUGCUCAACAAUCAAAAUGGUCUUAAUUUCAUCUUAUAAAGCUUCCUGCUGAGCAUACCAUAUGUGGUGACUUUAAUUCCUUUUAUGCUACUUUUUGACGCUUUAUCUUUUGCCACAUGUAGCUGGGAUAAAGCAGACUCAUUGUGGGGUUUAUUUGAAAAUUUCAAGUUAUAGGGCUUAAUAGUCAAUACAUGUUUUCAUGCCAAAAUUAACUUCCUCGUACUCUUUUAGUUCAAAUCAAAUUUAAAUUACUUCAAAGAAUUCCUUCUUCAUUCUGGUUCAAUUCUCUCCCCUAACCCAGUCUGAUCAACCACACUUAAUCAUUUAAAAUAACAUAAACAUGAGGCCAAGUCCUGAAUGCUGGAAGGAAAUAUUAGCACAAGAUUUUCAUAGACAUGCAGGCAGAAAUUCAACAAUUGAUUUCCACCAUGGAAAUGCUUUGCUUGCUGAUUAAGUUAAAAAAAUGGAUUUCAAGCAUUUUCUGCUACAGUUGAUAUAAUGUGGUUAAGCACUUAGCUAGCAGGACCUAUGCUAAAUCAUCUUAUCUAUCUUAAAUUUAUAAAGGUUUUUUCGCAUGUAUACCCUCCUAAAUAUAUGAAAUUGCAUGAAUAUUCUCGUAAAAUUACUAUUUGUAUGUAUAUCCUCAUAAAAUACUUGUUUUGCAUCCAUUUUUUUUUCUUUUUUGCAUAUAUACCCGUGCCAUCUAACACCUUAAAAUUAAAAUGACUGAAAUACCCUUAUGGGUAGACGUGCAAAAAAAAAUUAUAAGGGUAUACAGGCAAAUAGCAACUUUACGAGGGUAUUCAUGCAAUUUUUCAUAUUUAGAAUAGUAUACAUUCAAAAAAUCUAUUAAAAAUAUAUCAAACUCGGAGACUUGCUAAGUCUUUCAUGAUUCAGUCGGAUCAACAAGUCAGAAAAAGAUCAAGUCACAUUGUCAAUUUUCUUAAUUUAAAAUCUUGACUCGAUCAAGUUGGAAUAUUAGAUGAUCAUCAUGGUGCUAUUCUCCUUUUAAUAUUGAUAUAAUUAUCAUUAUUGAAUCUAUGACAUCUAUAUAUUCUUCAUUAUUUUUAAAAGAUUAAAGCAUAUCGAAUUUAAAUUAAUUAUACAUACUUAGAUUAGCAAUAGUAAAAUAUUUUUUAGUGAUUUGUAAAUGUUGAGUUGUUUGUUUGUUGAGGUGAGAAUUUCAUAAAAACAACACAAUUAUUCUACAAGAGUUGACAUUAACAUAAAAUGAAGCGACAUGAUAAUAGUAAUUUUGUUGUCACCUUUUUUUUAUUAAAAACAACUAAAUUAUCUUUAUGAAUUUUGUCAGUUUUUAUUGGAUUUUUUAAGGGUAUACCUCCCUAAAUAUGCAAAAUUGCAUGAAUACCCUCGCAAAGUUGCUAUUUGCAUAUGCAUCCUCAUAAAGUUUUCUUUUUGUGUCUACCUAUAAGGGUAUUUCAAUCAUUUCAAAUUUAAAAUGUUUAUUUUUUAACGGCGCUAGACGGUAUACAUAUAUAAAAAAAGAAAAAAUAAGGGUAUACAUAUAAAUAAAUAAUUUAUAAGGGUAUACAUGCAAGUAGCAACUUUACAAGGGUAUUCAUGUAAUUUUAUAUAUUUAGGAGGUUAGAUAUGCAAAAAAUCCAUUAAUAAAAUGUACUUACCCAAACAAAUAAUCAAAUACAAGAGCGGCAAGAAUACAGCCCAAUGUAUAAGAAUUAAGGAAUAAUGUUUUCUUUUUGCUGUUCUUCGGCUGUCUUGUAGGUUUAUAGAAAAAUUAACUUAAGUGUGCACUGUCACUCACAUUUGGAAUGCAACAUACGUCUUUUGCCGAGUUCUACAUUUUUUCAUAUACUAAAAGUCUAAAAGGUGCGAAUGAAGCCCCACAUCCUUCUGUUACUAGCGUAGUCUAAAUCCACAUGUAAGUGCUUAAUACAUGAUAUGUGAUUGUAUUUAUUUGUCUCUCUUUAGGAUUUUGGGUAGCACACAAGUGAAUCCAAAAACUUGCAUCAAAGAUAAUUAGUUUCAUAAAGUUAUCCAAGAUUAAAAUACAAGAAUGGCUGUAAUGAAGCCAUAAACUAAAUUUCAUUGUCUUACCUCCAAAUUAUAAUGCAUGCGCAGUGUGCGAUAGGUCAUGUCGCUAGAACUUUCCAUCUCAUAAUAUACUGAUAUAUAGAAGGAAAUGCUCCCACAGAGUCCAGCAUGAAACCAAAGAGGCCACAUAAAUGUUGUCCCCCCCUGAAUACUAGCAUCCUGCAGAUAUAAAGAUAAUAAACUCUCAAACCAUUGAAAGAACACUAUAUUUUUCCAACUAAACUGGAAUAGAGGGCUUAGCAUGCCAGUGUCAUUCUCUGCUCACAUUGGGAAAUGAGAACAAAAGGCCCCUCGACUUCUCCAUUAUAUUUCCUGGUACAUCAUUGCUCGCAGAACUUAUCCGCUUUUCUAGACACCGAGGAAAAUCCAGGUUUAGGUCCGCAGAGCUCCCAGGAAUCAAGAACCUUGCAUGACUAAUCUUCAUUUUCAUGUUCUGCAAAUUCCCAAUUCGUUUAAGCAAGUUGAGUUUGAGCAUUUGCCAAUGGUACAAUGCAAUAAGUAUUUUCAUUCAAGCAAUCAGUACAUAGGAGGAAAAUGGAAUAAGUUCCAUCAGUUACAGCUGACAUACUGUCUCUAUAGCUCAGAGAAUGCCUAAAAAUUGCUCCUAAGCUACAGCAUUAUAGAUUUAGAAGAAAUUUAUGACGUAAAAAGGAAAUAAUAGCGCUGCAAAGCAAAAAGUAACAAAUGAUCAAAGCAUCAAGGAUCAGACCUUCACUGAAUAUUCUGACUGGUUUCUCAGUUCCAGCAUGAGAAGCCGUAAAUCACCUGUAAAUGCUUUUUUCGGUAGGUGAUGAACACAUCCCUCGAGUUUGGGUAGACCCUGAAUAUAAAGAAAGAGGAGUCAUUAUUCUUAUUCUCCAACAGAUACCAAAGAAGUAGAGGAAAAAAGGGAACCUUGAUCACAAUAAAAUUCAGGUUCCUCUGCAAAGAAUGCCUAGCUCCCUUUUUCCCUUUCUUGUUUUUCAUUGUAUCAAACUCAAAGUACUGAUAACCGACGACUGAAUCUGAUAAUGUCCACCUCACUCCAACUAUUUUCAGUAUACCUUCAACUCGUGGAGUGACUUUUAGUUGUAUCUGAAAGUGAACAAAAAAUCACAUAUUUUGUGACAUGUAGACCGAAGAUUGUCGACGAAUGAAAUUUUCAAAAAUGGUACAUUAUGUGUAAAUUCCAAUGUCAUGAUCUUGAUCAGUAUAAGUUAAAAUGCCUCAAAAGGCAAAAAGAAGUGCUACUACAAUCCAACUACAAUACUCAACAGAACCAUAAUGCAAGGAAACUGUCGUUUUAUAGCUCUCACCAAGCUAUAAAUGUGGAGGUUGAAUGUAACUCUAGGCACAGAUGUUAAACAGGGAGCUAGAUUGUGAUAAUUUAGUAAUGGAGAGGUAGACAUUAUAUGACUGCGACUUUUCAUAAUGGUUAAAAGAUAAAUGCAGGAAACAUGUUUCUUAUGCAAUUAAAUUUUUGUGGAAAAAUGGAUUCUAUUUGGUUUACCUAAAAUGGGGAAUGGAUCGGAAAACACUCAUAAAAUACCCAUAAAAGCCCAGUAUAAACUGAAAGGAGCAUAUCAAGAAAAACAAAAAAAAAUCAAAGAGAAUCACUUCUAGACAUUUUUCUUGUAUUUCCCAUAGUUCCUCUUGUAUUUCCCACAUAAUUGUCGCUUGUUUUGCAUCAUUGUCUCCUAUUUGUGACUGUUAAAAUUUAUUGGAUACCUGGCUUUUGUUUCUGUUUCACGUACUAUUUCUUACACCUGUUUCUGAAAGUGAUGACUAUUGUUUAAAAUGCAAACAUUGUUACACUUGAUUUAAUUUUAUGCCAUUUUCUUCUACAUACACAAUCUGCUAUUAAAAUUCAUGAAGAACUCACAAGUCUACAACUAUUCUCAGAAGGGUCCCCCUAGAAUAGACAAGAAACUUCAUUAGCAUUUACUGCUUUGAAGUAGAGUCAAUCAACUACAUCAUCAUUAAUAGUAACCUACCUGUGCUCACUCCAAUGCCACUACUACCAUCCGAAAGACAGAAAAGUAAAACCAUAAAGAUGUAGGUCCCGACUCCUGACUCUCAAAUGUAAUCAAUCAAGCAUUUAACUCAAAAAGCUGGCAUCAAAGGAACACACCUCUUCUGGAAACCCUUCCAUGCAACCAUACCCGAUUUGCUUCAUCACCAAUCAACCACUUGUAUAGGGCAUCUCUUUAACAUUUUUUAACAGGUAAGAAUUAAAGAAAAUUUGUAUUUGAGAAUGGAAAGUAACACCACUAUAUUUUUCCACUAAAACCUCCCUAUCUGUAAUGCUCUUUUUGUGGACAACUGAUAACUCAGUAUUCAGCCAACUAAUAAAAGCUAGAAGACAUACUCAAAAAAUUUUAUUGACUACCGCAAGUUUUCCUUAUUAAAUAAUAGAAUGAUUUACUCUAUAAAACUAUAAAUCAAAUAUAUAGACAUACUUCCAUGUAUCAGGAUAGAUAAGCUACCAUGUUUGAUACUCUGUAUCAUACACUGAUUUGAUUGCAACUAAUCCAUUUUUGCAUACAUUCAUAAUCAGGCACUCAAGUUCAUGGAAGAGGUUAAAGUACAUGAGAUAUUAAUUAACUGCAAAGCAAGGGAGAUAUAGCAUAUACAUGCAGGAGAUAUCAGAGUUACUGACUGGAUAAUCCAAAUUCAAAUCCCUACUCGCUACCAUUCUAGAAUUUUAACAAUUAACAAAGAAAUCUUCUUAAUCAAAUACUUACCCUUUUAGUCUCGCGUCCUUUAAGAACAAAAUCAAAUUUUGAUAACAUGAGGGAAGAGUCAUCACUAGAAUCCCUGCAAUGAGCAGCCAUGAAGCAUUUAGUAGUGGCAAAAGCAAAGUUAACCAAUGUUCACCAUCUCAUUACCAAACUGGUACCGGUACUAUGAUGGUAUAAUAUUGGUACCAGUGUACCACCGAUAUAGACUUGGUAUGGCGUACAAAGUCUCGGUACGCUCCCCAUAUGGAGUCUCUGUUCGGUAUCAAUACAGUACGAUACAACCGGUACAGGGCGGUAUGUAUUGGUACGACAAACUUUAAUGUCAACAAAUUCAAAUAGGAGAUAAUCAAAAGGAUUUUGAGGUGAUCCUCGGUGCAAUGGAAGGUUGCUCUAUUGUGACCUAAAAGUCAUGGGUUCAAAACAUGGAAACAACCUCUCCGCACAUAGGGUUAAGGCUACAUAUAUUUGACCUUUUUUAGACCUUGCAAUGGCGGGAGCCUUGUGCAUUAGGCUAACCUUUUCAAACAAUUAAAAGGAUUUUGGCAUCAGAGAUUAUUUAACAUAAACAAGUACCUACAACUAGGAGGCUUUCUGAAUUCUGCAUCCUCCUCAAGUGCUGUUUCUGAUGCACUAUUAUCUGCAUAAUUGGUUCAAGGAGCAAAAUUUACAAACUUAAAUCUAUAUGAGACAAACUGCAAUAUGAACAUAGGCAAGUUGCAUACCAAAAUUUGUUGCCACAGAUUCUGCAGAGAGUUCGCAUAUAAGAGAAACACCAGAAACAGAAAUUGGAAUCUGAAGAGGGUUUUUGAACUCAAGAUCCAGUUUUAUUGCUUCUGCAUAAAUAUAUUCCAGGUUUCAGGACUAAAUUCUUAAGAAAUGCUAAAAUGUUAUUAACUGUCAAUUCUUUAACAUUUACUACACAAUAUUAUGAUGCUACAAAAUAUGGAUAUGGAUUUGGGGUAUAGAUUCCACAUGAUAUGAAUAAGCUAAUAUACGAAAUUCUGAAAUGAUAACAUUUGAUAAUGCUGGGAUAUGGCAGUAAAUAAAUAAAUAAAGUGUAUGUAUAUGUGAAAAGGAACCUAUGAAGCAUGAUAGUUUAUCACAAUGACAAAGCUAUACUUCAUACAAUAACAUCAACAUUCACAAGUUCCAUCAUUUAGUCAUCAUUCAAACUCAUAGAUCACAAUCUAUUCCCCAUUCAGUCACAUCAACAUCAUAAAGUCUAAAAUCAGCCUUCCAUCACUAGAAGGUCAGCAUCCAUCAUUAGCCCUUCUGCAUCCUCCGAAAUAUUCGGGAAGUAUCCUGGGUGUAUCUUGGGCAUAUUUGUGCUUCCUAGCAAUGAUGGAAAGAGAUUAGAUUGCAAUAGGAUUUAUACUAAUUUUUCAAUGAUCCUCCUGUUUCUGCUAAUUUUUCUCCAUUCCCUUUACAAGCCUAUUUUCCUUAAGCAAUCCAACGAUAGGAUAUUCUGAAAACAGAUUGUUUGAAGAAAAGAGUCACACAGCACAUUCCAUCCACAUAGCAUAACAAGGCCUACUAAAAGUACUUUCUGCAGAUACGUGCAUGCCAACACCAAACAAAGAAAGGACUCAAUGCAAGUUUUGAUGGAGGUCACCAGUCAUCAAGAAAAAAAGGUCACCCCAUAUGUUCUUCUACAUCAAAUAAUUCGUUAUAUAAAUUAACAAACAUGCCUCCUAAUUUACAACAUCUAAACUUGUUACAUGAAUAAUGUGAAAUAUACAGGUAGAUGAAAGAAGAAAAAAAAGCUUGCUGCAUAAAAUAUGAUUAAACACAACAAUUCAGUUCUAUCUCGUCUCCAGUCGCUGACAAGCCUUAUCACCAAAUAUGGGUUAGUCUUGAACUUCAAUUGUUUACCAUUAAGGGUUAAUAACUUUCAAGUUCUACCAAUUCCUCAAACUUAGGUAGGUUUUAAGCUUCGAAUUCUUUUCUAUCUAGGGCAGAUUCCUCAGAUUUCCCUUCUGUAACCAACAGGAGUAUUUCCCGCUCUUUCUUAGAAAACAAGGAUCAUAUAAUGAGCUCCAAAGAAGAGAAUGAAUAUCCACCAUAAGAAUUAAAAACAAGGUUCCCAAAUCAUAAAACAUAUAUUACAAAAAUUUACUCUUAGUUGGAAAAGGAAGAGAGUAACACAAUCAUACCCUUAAGUGUAAUUUAAACUACAUAUGAAUGCAUUCAAACAUCACAAUUUUAAUUAAAAUAAAGACAGUAAAUCAGCAUUCGACGAACCGACCUAAACCAGGCGGUUCGACCCAUAGCAAUCCAAAUCAACAGCAAAUUAGGAUGUUUCGGUUCACAAAACCCCUCCGCUCCCCUGGUGCGAUGAUUCAACUAUUUGCUCUCUCUCUCGAUGAUUCAAGAGCCUUCGAGAGCUCUCUUACUCUCUCUCUCUCUGUCGAGUGCUCGCUCACGGAAUGCUUAAACAUGCUCUAGGUAAGCCUCCCCCCUCUCUCCCCCUCCCUCUCUAUCUCUCUCAGCCGGACACUCGCUUUCUUGCACUCUCUGCUCCCUCCUCUUUGACAUCGUGACAACGUUAGCCACCCUCAAGGUAGCACCCCUCCCUCCCUCCCUCCCUCCCUCCCUCCCUCUCCGUUGGAUGCUCACUCGCUCCCCCCCCCCCCCAACCUCGACGCCCUCAAGGUAAGCCUCCCCCCUUCUCCUCCCUCCUUUCUCUCUUUCGCCCUCUCCCUCCCCAUGUUUCAGUGCGCCCCAACUCAGUAUGUACAUAUCGGUACCAUACCGAACCGAUCACCAGCCAAUGCGAGCGCCAGUAUCGGUCCAGCGGACCUUGCAUAUUUAUAAUAACAAUUGAUCUCUAACUUUUUUUACAUGCAGCAGUUGUAUAAAUUUGUCGCCGAAAAGAGAACUUUUAUGUUCUCAAACAAGCUGCUUUCUUAGGUCUAAGCUAGUUGUAGAUGAUGAAUAUUUUUUGAUGAUAAGGGACAAUGUUAAUAAUAAACAAAAUCAUUUAGCCUUUUUCCAACAAUUUGGAGUCAGCUUUAUGGAUCCUCGUUCGCUAAAUAUUUCUAUUUAGCGCCACUUUUCAUUUUAAGGUUUGUCAUACCAUACCGAACUGAGUGGUGCGGGGCAUACCGUACUGUAUCGGUUCAAUAUCGGUAUACGGUACGACCAACACUCAGUACGCCAAACCGGCCAUAUACCGUACCAUACCGACACAGUGAUAGUGUGGCACCGAUAUGGGGGCCCCUAGCGAGACAACAUAUCUUGUUUCAUGUUAUUGUAAGUUUAUUUAUAUCUUUCCCCACAACCUCCAUCGAUGUUAGUUUAGAUCUUUCCCUCUUUUUGUCACCACCUUCAAUACAAACCAAAGUACCCCUUCUUAUUGAACCCUUUUCAAACCUUCGUUGUACAUGUUCAUACCAUUUAAAUCGAUUUUCCAUCACUUUGUUCUUGAGGAAGUAACGAAAACAGUCACUUUGUGGCAUCUCUUGGUUUACAUUUCUUCGUUUCCAUUCUCACUAAAUUUACAUUCCACAAGCUAUGUAUUUUCUGCAACUAUCUCAUCAUAUAUAUACUAGCUUAACCAAGCAUAAAAAACUGCGAACAGCUCUUUCCAAAUUGAACACAGUUAAUUGCACUUCUACAUUAUAUAUAAACUCUAUGAAAUGCAUAUUGAAAAUUUAUGUAAUUGUGCUUAAGGAUAAGAAAAUAAUGUGAUCAAGUGUGCAGAACUGCAGAUUCAUUAAAAAUGUUACAGUGUAGCAAGUUCCCUAUCAGAAAGAAAGCAACAGAUUGAAGAUUCAAGGUAUCCUACAUAUAAUUCCAGUUCCAGACUACCUGUACAUGUAUAACUACACUCUAAGAAUUGUUGCAAGCAAAACCUCUUCUUGAAGGGCCCAGUUGCUUGCAAAAUCACAGAAACGGGAAAGUGCUAAGUUAAUAGUUUUACUUUUACUGAUACUUUAAGACAUUUCAAGUAGAAAACAUUAGUUGAACAUUUAUAAACAUCUCAUCCCAUACAUACUGACACAUUAAUGGACUGGCCCAUCAGUUGAUUGCUAAGAGAAGUUUGCUGAUAGUAGUGAUUGAAACAAUGGUUUGGGCCAUACCAAGGUGUAAUUUCAUCACUGCAACUUAGUGGUUUUUGAAUAUCUGGCAUACUGCCCAAGGCUAAAAUGCCAUGAUAUCCCAUCUUACGAUAAAAUAUUUGCCAUGCCAAUAUACAAGCAUAGAUGUAGUAGGAUGGGAGCAAUUUAAGAUAAGGAGAGGUGUGUAUUGGAACCAAAGUUUUAAAUCCUGUGGGAUGGGGUUAUUCCGGUUUCUCCAUAGAACAAGAUGCUCGCUAUCCCGCCCUAUCCCGGCAGUGGUCCCGAUCAUGCAUCCCGAUAGAUAUCCUCCAUCUCUCUCCCCUUCUUCUUUCCUUUCUUUCUUUCUUUCUUUCUUUUUCAUAUUUCUUUGUUUCUUUCUUUCCUUCCUCUCUUUCUUUUUCUUCUUUCUUUCCUUCCUCCCUCUCUUUCUUUUUCUUCUACCUUCCUUUCUUUCCUUUCCUUUUCUUUCUUUUUCUUAUCCCCUUCCUUUAUUUCUUUUUUCCUUUUUCUUCUUCUUUCUCUUUCCUUUCUUCCUUCUUUCCUUCCUUUCUUUUUCUUCUUCUUUUUCUUUCUUUCUUUCCUUUUUCUUCUUCUUUCCUUCACUUUUUCUUUUUCUUCAUUCUUUUUCUUUUCCUUUUUUUUUGUUCCUCUUUCUUCUUCUCNNNNNNNNNNNNNNNNNNNNNNNNNNNNNNNNNNNNNNNNNNNNNNNNNNNNNNNNNNNNNNNNNNNNNNNNNNNNNNNNNNNNNNNNNNNNNNNNNNNNNNNNNNNNNNNNNNNNNNNNNNNNNNNNNNNNNNNNNNNNNNNNNNNNNNNNNNNNNNNNNNNNNNNNNNNNNNNNNNNNNNNNNNNNNNNNNNNNNNNNNNNNNNNNNNNNNNNNNNNNNNNNNNNNNNNNNNNNNNNNNNNNNNNNNNNNNNNNNNNNNNNNNNNNNNNNNNNNNNNNNNNNNNNNNNNNNNNNNNNNNNNNNNNNNNNNNNNNNNNNNNNNNNNNNNNNNNNNNNNNNNNNNNNNNNNNNNNNNNNNNNNNNNNNNNNNNNNNNNNNNNNNNNNNNNNNNNNNNNNNNNNNNNNNNNNNNNNNNNNNNNNNNNNNNNNNNNNNNNNNNNNNNNNNNNNNNNNNNNNNNNNNNNNNNNNNNNNNNNNNNNNCUCUCUCUCUCUCUCUCUCUCUCUCUCUCUCUCUCUCUCUCUCUCUACCAAGAGCACAAAUUCCACAAAAUCGCACUCGGCUUGGCAUCCACAAUCACUUCUGAUAAGAGAGAAAUUGAAGCAUUCUAUUAAGGUUUAUGCAUAUUAUGUAUGUUAAAAGGAACAACACAAUACCCAUUAAACCAUACCUCCUGCCACACAAACACAAGAGUUAUUGUAUUUUUUCAACGGGGAGGUUUUUGGCUGUGAAUCUAGCCAGUUAGAUUUGACAGUGGAUAUCGAAGGAACCAUUUCUUCCUCCAAAGCUUGCCACAUGCUUUCACUCACUUGGACCUGCUUGAAAGAAACAAUUCAAUAUACAAGUAAAGAAAUGAAUUUAACUUUAUUCUGCUGACAAUAAAAGACAAGCAGAUAAAAGAACUGUAUCUUGUGUUAAAUGAUUAGUUGAAGCAUAUGACCUUUUAUACAAAACACUUAAGCAAUAAAAUUUGCAAUUUAUUAACAAUGCCAUCCCAUUUGUAUAUAUCCAGAUAAUAUAUAGAGCAGGCAAUGGCUGUUUUUACAGGAUUUAAUAAAAAUUAAACUAACACUAAUAUGAAUCCAUUUAACGUCAGUUUUUUUUCACCUAAUCCUAAAAUUAGCCGAAUGAAAUGCCUUGCUUGACCAAUGAUAAAAAGAAACGACUCUUACCAAAAACCUUAAAAUCAAUGUGCUAUCCUUAUUGCAUUUAAGCUGUUGGGUCAAGAAAAAUAAAGCCAGCAGCCCAGCACCAUAUAGAUUGAGUAAGGCUUGCAGAUAAAGUUGAAUUUAAUGAGAAAAAUACAACUAAGCGUCCAUUUGGUAUUGCCUUCAUUUGUGUUUCUGUUUUCAAAAACCCAAGAAUAAAAAUGAACUACAUCGAAAUGAUAUGUAUGAUAAUACCCUUCUAUUUUUUUAAAAAAAUAAACAGUUCGUGAAACUUUUAGAGUUCUUGGAAGCAAAGGUUGAUUGCUUCUGAAAAAGAGUGAAAAGCAAUGAAUAACAGAAGUUUCAUGCAAAUGCUAUUUUCAAAUCAAUUGGCAUGGGUAUUUCACCAUUUUGUAGAGAAACAAAAACCCAAGCAAUAAUGAUUCCGAAAAGGUCCAUAAUCAACAUUACAGAAGCAUAGAUUCCAAACUCUCUGACUAGUACAUUAACAGUUAACUAUUUUACUUCAGAAUAGUUUCUACUUUCUUUUACUGUGCAUUUGUUACACCAGAGAUGACUAUUUCUCGUUUACUUUGUCAAUUGAAAUAGAAAUGCUGAAUCUGAAUGUAUGAAUAAUUUGGUCAAUUAUUACCAUCAACAUCAUCAUUCGUUUGCACUCUGACAAUUGUCACUAACAACAAAUACAAAAUUGUGGACAGGAUAACUAUCAGUAUCCAAUAAGUAUACAGAGAAGGUCAUAAAUAGGAAACAAUAGAGGUAAUUUCCCUAGCACCUUCAGAAGCAGAACCCCACUGGAGACUCUUCAUUCCAGCUUCAGAAAAUAACCCAGAAAUAGACGAAAUUUCAAGAACAUUGCAAUAAAAGUCACCAAAAAAGAACCAGCACCGGUAAGUAAUGAAUGACAACAUCUACCACUAUCAGAUCCUCGCAAUGGAUAGUAUCAAGGGAUAUUAUCAAUAUCAGCAUAUGAUGUGGACAAGACAACUAUUUUGAACCCAAGAUCGCAAAUGGAGAAUAUUUAGUUUCUGAAGAAAGAAACCUAAUUGUCCACUGUGACAGAUUUUCUACUGACUCCAGAACCAAAACAUCACUAGAGGCCUUGGAUUCAAAUUUUGAUCUAGUUAGAAAAGGACAUGGAUUGAAAAGCAUAAAGACAUCAGGAAAAAGAAAUUAGAAACAAGCUUUGAUAAGAAAGAAUGACAAGUUUUCACCCCCAGCAGUAUGGGUGACAUUAAAGGAACAUUAUGCUACAGGGGAGAAGAUGAUAGCUAGUACACAAGACCAUGUACAGAGAAUAUAAGUAACUUUUAGAAGGAAAGCUCAAUGUGCAAGUAACAUGUUCCCAUCAACUCCAGAAACAGAAUCUAUUUGAAGUUUUUUCAAAACAAAGGUAAACUUAUGGUUUGAUAACUGUCCAUAGGAUAGGAGAAAACCACCAGAAACUAAUUAUUUCUCAUUCAACACCAUGCACAAUCAUCCAUGAAAAUCUGCUGAACAUGAGUAAUCAACUUACAUCUGCAGAUGAUGCAUAAGUCCGAGUAUCUUCAUAAAAAACUUUGAGUGAGGCCAUGUUGAUGACAGGAAGUUGAAGCUUGUCUACCUCAAAUAUCUUGCCCAUUCUCUGGUUUGUUCAAAACAGCAGACUUGUCAACAUUAUAUCCAGCUGCUCAAAAAGAACUUAAGAAUUUGUAACCAUUACCUGAACAACAUGAAAAAAGUCACUAAGAAAUAUAGUUUGCGUUGCCAAGGACUGAUGGCUGCAUGCGAGAACCUCCAGCAUGUGCUUGAUUGCAAUGUCAAAUAUUCCAAGAAAAGCAUACCACCUUAGGUAUAUGAAGGAAAUGAAAUGCCCCAGAUUAAAAAAUUUAUUAUGCAAAUAUAAAAAAAACAUAAAUUUUAUUUAGUACCUUCCAAUAUUAAAAUGAACAUGAUUAGUGAUAUAAGUCCAAGCAUUUCCUUUGUACACAAAGAGUGCAUUUCUGUAUGCUCGAAUUGCAUGUUGUCUCUGCAUUCAGCAAAAUGAAACUCAGCAUGGACAAAGUCUUUACAAGCUUCUAAAUGUCAAUCAUAAAUUGCAUACCUGUUCAGAGAUAUAGUAACGAUUACCAGCCAGAAUAAGAUGAAAUCCAUAUUUGCGUAAUAAUGGUGGAUUGGAAAACAAAUAGCAAUAUGAUGCCUGCUCAAGCAUUACAGCUGCAUGCAAAGAAGGUUCCUGUAAAACUAUAAUCUGUCAGCAGCAGAUAUAAAAGCAAAAGUCUUUUUUCUAAUUCUUAAAUUACCUCAUUAGAAAUGCGGAAAUAUACACUGGCUGCCUCCUUAUACUGGCCUCUGGUCUUGAGCAUUUCUGCCCACCAGAGCCCACAUCUUGUUGCAUUUCUUUGCCCGGAAGACCCCAUUUUCUGUAUGGAGAAUGGUCAAGCAUCAAUUAAGUGGAAUUGUUAUGCACAGAACCAGAUGACAGUACAAAUAUUAUAGUGAUUUAACAAAAGAUAUUCUAAGCAUCAAUUAUGUGCUUGUCUUGAUCAUUGGACAUAAAACUUAAGUGACUGAGAUUCCAGGCCUGUUUAACCAAAGGAGAAUAAAUAUAGAAGAUAGGUAACACUUGCGACAAUAAACUAAAAAGUUCAUCUUGAGCAACUCAUGGCUUUUGCAAUACAGAUAUCAGAUGGCCUUCAUAACAAGCAAACCUCAAGGAAUAAAAAGCAAAAAUGUCUAAAUAUUCCUUACUUUAUGUAAGUGUUCAAGGUUUUCUAUGUGAAGGUAAAAGAUGCCAAAGUCAUGACUACCAACAUUCAACAUCAUAAAAGCCGUAAGUCGGUACAUUUUGCCAAGUAGGGUGCUGCACCCUCCCUAAGAUCUCAUAAUCUAAAUUCACUUCGUCACCCACUUCCCAACUUCAGCACUCUAAUUAUCACUAAUGGAAUAUUCAAUUGCCACUAAAUUUUAUCCAAGUUAACCUUAGUUGAAUCACAAAUGCAAUCGCUUGAAAUUUUAUCUUUUCUGAAUAUCUGAAUCAUGUAGAUCUAUAAUGUUUGCACUGUCAAAUGCAACUGCACACCGAGCUUGAACAUCCUCAACUAUUUGAAAGUUUUUCUGUCUGAUUCCGGCCCUUGAAUUUGUUUUACACCUACUCUCAAUAGAAGCAACUAAAUUCUCGAGCUCCAAAACCUUCUAGUAUAAGUAUCCAAUUUACAAUUGCAAGAUCAUCAAUAUUGAGAGAUAAACUGGCCAGAGCAACUUAUUCAAUAAGUUAGCACAGGCUUCCAAAAUUCCUGAUGAUAAAAUAAUAACUUAGAAGUUCCUAAUUUUGUUCCAACAGAAUAUCACUUUCACAAUCCAAUCCUUCAAACAUCAAUAUAGCCUCUCUAUUUGCAUAAUGCAAGAAAUGCCAUCCAGUGUCACGAUGGCAAUAUGAAUCUGCAAGUCUGAUACAUAAUAUUCACACAGGCUCACAAGACUUCUAUAUUAACAAGCACCAUAUUUUGGAUCAUAAAAACUCAAACUUCCCCUUUAAGUUGCUCUCAUAUUUGUUGAUUAACAAUGAUAAAAAUUAUCUUUUCUUUUUCCAAGGCAUGAAGAUAAAAAUCAGCUAUUCCAAAUGGAAUAGUCAAUUACAAGCAAUGAAUGACAAAACUGGAACUUCACCCAAAACAAAUAAAUUAUUUGGAUUUAGGACCUGACUAAACUACCAGAACAAAACUCACAUGUCAACGCCCAUUAUCUCUCUACUAAAAUUCUUUCAAAAUCCUCAAAAUAAAGAAUCCAGAUUUUAUAUGGGGGAAAUCACUGCAAUUAUCUGUUACAUUCACAUAUUAUAUCCUUUCACUCUAGUUGGCACACCAAAUUACUAGAACAUAAGCAAGAAAUUUAAAGCAUAUUUUGAGAAAUCAAACUUAGGAAUAUGGGAUAUGGAACUGUAUUAUGAAGUAUACUGUCCUUCAAUCAUAAAAUCAAACUUGACUAUGUUAAUUACAUAUUAAAUCAUGGUAUGCCGAACCGGCCCGUACCAGCCGGUGCGAGCCGGUCCAGCCAGCUACCGGUACGCUGGAGCCGUGAAAACUGGUACAGGCCGGUUCCGUACCGGAGACGAAGAAGAAGAAGAGAAAAAGAGAGAGCACGAGGAAGAGAGGGAGGGAGACCACCUGUGGCCACCAUCGGAGAGCUGCGGAGGCGCAUCGAAGGCCGGUGGGGGGCGGCAGAGCCCGGCGGGGGCCGGGGGAACCCGCAAAGGCGCAGCGGAGGCCGAGGCCAAGGCUGCGUCUUUUUAAUUUGGGGGUUUUAAGUGAAGUCGACAUAUCGGUUGCAACACCCUAGUAUUAUCCUGAUGGGCAGUACAACGACCCUGGCUUGCCCAAGCUAGCAUGGGCUUGCCCGAUUUCAAUCUGAAUUCACUAGUAGCUUAUUUGGCCAAGCUUGGGCUCACACACGUUGGGUUGAGUAUGGGCCUAGUUGAUCUUCAGCCAAGUAUCUAGUAACCAGGCUGAAACCCUUGAUGUUAAAUUAUCAAAGCUUUAUAAACCCUUCUCCCUUCAAAAUUUCAAAUAACUUCUUAACCCCGAAUUAUAUCGCCUAUUACCAUAUGCUAACUCUAGAAACCUAAGGACAUGACUUUAAACACCUCUUUUACCCUCUAGGCUGAAGUGAGUCCUCACUCCUGAUUCUUCAUUCCAGACAAGAUGUCCAAAAAGUCUAUGUAAAACCUAGCAAUCCCCUUUCUGCUUUACCUGAAACUGAGCACACAACCAUUACUUCUCUAAGUUCCUGCAUCACAUAUACAGUGAACUUAAAAUAUAAUGUAAUGAUCGAUUGUUUUCAUUUAAGAAACUACAUAAAAGGAGAAGAACAAAGAGGCGCUGAUAGAAGCGUCCAAAAGAGUCAUUAAGAUAUGUUUGAGGAUUUGAACAUGGUAAAAAAUGUAGAAGGAUAGACAGUGGACUUCAAAUAGGUAAACCAAGGUUCACAGUUCUCCAAUGUUUCAGAACAUUGUAGGUGGUAGACUGGUGCCCGGGAGGGUUGCCUAGAAUCUGUACAGAUAAAGGUCAAGAUUGCCAAAGCUAAUAUGCUCAAAAGUUCAAUAGAUAUAAGGAGAAACUUGAAAAAAAUAUAUAUUAGAAUCUAAGAAAUGGAACAUAAAAUUAUCAAAGAAGAUGUAGCAAGUCAAUAGGAAGANNNNNNNNNNNNNNNNNNNNNNNNNNNNNNNNNNNNNNNNNNNNNNNNNNNNNNNNNNNNNNNNNNNNNNNNNNNNNNNNNNNNNNNNNNNNNNNNNNNNNNNNNNNNNNNNNNNNNNNNNNNNNNNNNNNNNNNNNNNNNNNNNNNNNNNNNNNNNNNNNNNNNNNNNNNNNNNNNNNNNNNNNNNNNNNNNNNNNNNNNNNNNNNNNNNNNNNNNNNNNNNNNNNNNNNNNNNNNNNNNNNNNNNNNNNNNNNNNNNNNNNNNNNNNNNNNNNNNNNNNNNNNNNNNNNNNNNNNNNNNNNNNNNNNNNNNNNNNNNNNNNNNNNNNNNNNNNNNNNNNNNNNNNNNNNNNNNNNNNNNNNNNNNNNNNNNNNNNNNNNNNNNNNNNNNNNNNNNNNNNNNNNNNNNNNNNNNNNNNNNNNNNNNNNNNNNNNNNNNNNNNNNNNNNNNNNNNNNNNNNNNNNNNNNNNNNNNNNNNNNNNNNNNNNNNNNNNNNNNNNNNNNNNNNNNNNNNNNNNNNNNNNNNNNNNNNNNNNNNNNNNNNNNNNNNNNNNNNNNNNNNNNNNNNNNNNNNNNNNNNNNNNNNNNNNNNNNNNNNNNNNNNNNNNCGCACCGGUACGAUUUUUUUUUUUAGAACCACAGCGCCUCGCGCUGUGGUUUUUGAAACCACCGGUACCGGCCGGUACGUACGGUACCGGUCGUACCGGUCCGGCCGGCCACCGGUACGCCAACUGGUACCGGUACGGCGGACCUUGGUACCGACACUAUGCUAGUGUGGCACCGAUAUAGGGUCCGGUACCAUGAUGACAAACCUUGGACUUAAUAUAGUAGUUCACAAGUAUUUCUCACACAUGCUGAAAAACUGGUAUAAAUAGUUAAAAAUUCAUCCAAGUAAGAAAAAAAUACUAGGCAUUUCGAGCUCGCUAGUUGCAUCCCCACUAACUAGAUUGUGUAUCUUUCACUCUCAGCGAAUGCCAAGUGUCUUCUAGAAUAAUACUGCUUAUAAACUACUGUAUUUGUCUUCUUUUUUUAAAUCAUAUGUGCACACACAUAAUUUAAUUUUGGUGUACAUUUAGUACUUCCACAAUUUUAUCUAUCUUCCUCCUUUGAAAACUUAGUUCCAUGAAUUUCAAAUUUAUAUAUUAGUAAUACUAGUUGUAAAACAUGAACUUAUAUGACACACAAGUUAAAACUAUGCAAUUUGCAUGUCAAAUAAUGAUCCUCAAACAUAUGCAGGAUAAUAUUUGAUGAAUCUAUAGAUUAGUUAAAAUUUCAAAAAAUUGAUUCUUUGGUAUAAGUUGGAAAGAAUGAUUAAAGAAGCAUACCCAGAUGUUUCGAUUAGGGGUGGCAAUUUUUGGCUUGGGACCUGCCAAACUGCUCAAAAUAAAUGGUGGCUUUUAUAAUUGGAUCAGUUUUAGGUUAGUCAAGGAAAAACUGAUUAUAUAUAGGUGUGGGCCUAGUGGGUCACCAUACAUUGGACAAGCCCUUAAAACCACAGCCCUGGACUUCUAGGAUAGUGAUAUAGCAUGGUGGCCUGUGUACCAGUCAAGGUUUGUUUUGAAUGAUUAUAAAGCCAUGUACUUCAUGAUUAAGUAUAUAAAACUCCAGAGAAAAGUGAAGCAGGAAGCAUAAGAUUUAUAAUGUUCAGUUCUCCACUAUAAUUUUCUCUCUCUCUCUCUCUCUCUCUUUAUAUACAAACAUAUAUAUGGAUGACACACCAAGAUCCCCACUCCUUAACACUAUUCCAUUUCAUUUUUCAAGGAAUAUGACUGAGAAGUGAAGCCUUAAUUUUGUCGAUAGGCCAGCUAUAGGUCCAUAUAUAGAGUAAAUGGGUUGGGUAUGGGUCCAUUCUUUUCAAUCCAAGUAUAAAUGAGAUGGUAUGGGUUGAAUAUUUUAUUGACCCUCCCAGAACCCAACCCAACUUGACCCAUGGCCACCCGUAGUUCCAAUUAUGUGUCCAUAUACAGCAAAUAGGCAUUUAUGUAUGCUAGUUUGUGCCAAGUCUAGGGGAACUCUGAAUGAUUGCUCCUUAGUUGACUGAGCUAAAUCUGCAACCAACAAGGUAGAUAUCCCAACACGGCAAGGGCCAUAUAGGUUUUAUGGUAGGCUGCUCGCUUUUCUAAAUCUGCCUUGGCUCGACAUUCUGCACAAAUUUCCAUAGGGUUGAUGUCAAGCAUAAUCGCUAGUUGAAGACAUAGUCACUCCUUCCAAGGAAACUUCUCAUCUUUAAGUUAUGCUCUAUAGUUGACUCCAUAUUUGAUGAGCAAAGAAUAGGAUAUGAUAUAUUUUCUUCAGACCAAUAAAAGAAAAGUCCAUAUCCACUUGAAGCUCAUUGAGGCACGAUGCCUAAAUACCAAAAACAUCCUCUCAUGAGUUCUUGCAUUCAUCGUUUCUAAUGUCAUGUCCAUACAAUGGGUGAUCACGAAGAGGUUGAUCAUAUCAACAAUAGUCUAAUUUUACCUUGAAUUCCUCCACCUACUGGCCCUACGAAUGAUCAUCUUAGGCUGCAUUUGGCAUCAUUGUCACUUUUCCUUUUAAAGAAAUCUAGAAACACAAAUUCUAUUUCUAUUUUUUUUCAGAUUUCUGACAACAGAAAACAUGUUUGGCUCACUCUUUUUUUCACAACAAGGGCCAACGACGAGGGAGAAGAAGGGGGGAUGGGGCCGGCAACAUGGUCAAAGACAAAGGAGAGCUUGACGUCAGGCGGAGAGGCAAUCGAGGGAGCAACAGAGGAAAAAGAAGUGGGGAUGGGGCCAGUGAUGUGACCGGGGAUGGGGGAUAGCUCGACAUCGGAUGAAGAGAUGGCUGGCGAGGCCUGGAGAGUCAGUGCGGUGGGGCAAGGGGGGACGAGGCUAUGGGCGAGAUUGGGCCAAAGAAGAGGGGUUGGGAAAAGGGUGAAAAACCACUUUUAAAAAAACUGGAAGUGAAUUUUUCACUCACUUUUUUCCAGAAACAACGAAAGUUGUUUACAAAAAACAGAAGCAAAAACAAGGUAACCAAACAUGUUUUCUACAUUGGAUUUCAUGUUUCUGUUUUUAGAAAAAAAAACAUGAAGCAAAAACAGUACCAAACAAGCCCUUAUCAAGUAUCUUUUUUCAAGUCUCACCAACAAGGAUGGUGGAACCGUCCCGAACUAUCCGGUACGGGAUGUACCGAGCCUACCGACAGCCGACCGGGACGGUUCCGGCCUUCAAAUCAAGAGACCAACAAACGAAGGCGCGAGGGAGAAGGAAAGAGAGGAAAAGGGACAAAGAGAAAGAGGGAGAGGGAGAGGAAGAAAAGGAGGGAGGGAGGCAGAGAGGGAGAAGGGCGGGAACGCCGGAUUAGGGUCCUUCGUGUGUCGAAGCAAGGGCGAAGUCCUUGUUUCAAAAGGAAGCAGGGGCUUCGGCCCCUUUCUAAAGAAAACAAGGCAGGGCAGUGGCUGUCGACUUCACUUUAAAAAAUUCAAAAAUAUAUAUAAAAAGAAGGUCCAAGCCCUGUUUUUUUUAGUAAACAGGGACUCCUCCCCUACUCCAACGCACGGAGAGAGAACUUCGAAAGCCCUCUCUUCCCGCUCCCUCGGCCCUGUUUCGGCACCAUUGUCCUCUCCCUCUCUCUCCCUCCCUCCCUCUCCCUCUCUCUUUUUUCUCUCUUUCCUUCUCCCUCUCUCCCUCACUCCGCNNNNNNNNNNNNNNNNNNNNUCUCUCUCUCUCUCUCUGCCGCCCUUUCCCACCCACCCUCCCUCCCUCCCUCUCUUUUCCUCUCUCCUCCCUCUCCCCCUCCUUUGUCGAUUUCCCUGUCGGUUCAUGCUAGAAUAGCAUGGCAUGGAGGCAUACCGUACCAUACCGCCUACUGGCAUGGGUGUCGGUUCCAGUACUGUGGACCUUGCUCACCAACAUCCACAACCACAAAAUAAUCAAAGGAAUGCAAUUCAUCCACCCUGCUUAUAUAAAGUUCACAUAGAAGGCCAGACUUUAUAACUCCAAGGAAAAUAUUGAACAUAUAGAGUUGUAACCAGAGGUGAAGAGUGGAAUGGAAAGAAACAACUUCGCCAAGACUAUCAAUUAAUUGCAACUUGUUGUACAACAUAAUCAUUGGAAAAUAAGAGGACUGACAUCCAAUAUCAACAGCCACCUCGCCUUUCUCCUCCAAUGGGAACUCUUGUUAGUCAAUAAAGUAGUCACUACAACAUCCUCCUCCCUCUCCAACUUCCCCACAAAACUUGGGGAGAAAAUGUGCUAAGCAAACAAAGCCAAGCUUAUGUGCUCAAAAUCUUCCUAGGGAUGGCAUCACACGACCAACAUCACGGAUGAAGUAGGUCCUUAUUAUGUUAUACAUUAGGUUGUAGUGAUUCUACCUCAAACACAAACAAAUCCUGUAAAAGAAAAUUGCCUCACUAUUUAGCAUUUCAAUU
This 30290-nucleotide long non-coding RNA is filed under the name Phoenix dactylifera (date palm). RNAcentral describes it as "long non-coding RNA (PDAC_LNC001427)". The record is from RNAcentral. Lineage: Eukaryota; Viridiplantae; Streptophyta; Magnoliopsida; Arecales; Arecaceae.